UGGGCUCUGCAGAUGGACCUCUCUCC
RNAcentral lists this non-coding RNA (26 nucleotides) under Homo sapiens (human). Lineage: Eukaryota; Metazoa; Chordata; Mammalia; Primates; Hominidae. The record is from RNAcentral.